GUUUUGUACAUUGCUGUUAAAAUUUUCACACAAUCAGUGAAACAUUCAAACAAGCUAAACUGAAUUUUUAUUACUGAAAGUUUCAAACAUUGACAAAUGUUUUAUUUACCAAAUAACUCAUGUGUUUCUGUGAGAAAAAAAAAAUCAUGUGCAAUUUUUGGAAUUAAAGGGAAAGAAGAUCCUUUUCUCGCUCUGGUGCAUGUCAAUUGUGAAUAUAUACUUACGGUUACCAAAUAUAUUUUCUUUAUCAUGAUACUCACAUCAACAUUAUCAAGAAGUACAUGUACAUCAUAGGAAAAAUGCACAGACUACAGAUAAAAUGUUUAAAACACCAUAUUUUGAGUGCAUCUCCUGCCAAAUCUGUACUAGAUGAGUAUAAUUGAUGUAAAUAAGGUAAUUUUUGGAAGAAAAACCCAAAAUAAAAAAAUAAAAAUACCCCCAAUAAUGUACUAUAACCCCAAAAUCAAUUCUUAUCUUCCUUUUGAGUUUUGUGUAUGAACCUCCUGGUAAAAUUUCAUGGAAAUCCAUUUACUUAACUCAAGUUAUUGUCUGAAACCAAAUGUGUUUUUUUUAACAUGCUUGUAUUUCCCAUUUCCAUUCUCAAUUUUUUUUUGCUAUCAUAUAAGAACUUGAAAAGUAAGCUACAUUAUGUACAUGUAACAAAAAAAAUAUAUGCAAGAAAUGACAUAAAACUGACUCUGAAUUUAAUAGUACAUGUCAGAUAUUGAUGUAGAACUCACAAACUGAAGAUGAUCAGAAAUACAAAUGUUUU
RNAcentral lists this long non-coding RNA (772 nucleotides) under Mytilus galloprovincialis (Mediterranean mussel). Lineage: Eukaryota; Metazoa; Mollusca; Bivalvia; Mytilida; Mytilidae. The record is from RNAcentral.